This 461-nucleotide ribosomal RNA is filed under the name uncultured bacterium. RNAcentral describes it as "bacterial SSU rRNA". It matches the Rfam family "Bacterial small subunit ribosomal RNA", at positions 28 to 507 of the family's 1533-position model. The record is from RNAcentral.
GAUGAACGCUGGCGGCGUGCUUAAUACAUGCAAGUCGAACGGAGACUGUAGCAAUACUGUCUUAGUGGCGAACGGGUGAGUAACGCGUUGGUGACCUGCCCCGAAGAGGGGGAUAACAGUCCGAAAGGAUUGCUAAUACCCCAUGUGGUCGUUUGGAUUAGAUGCCUUACGACUAAACGGAUUUAUUCGCUUCGGGAGGGGCCUGCGUCCCAUCAGCUAGUUGGUAGGGUAAUAGCCUACCAAGGCGAUGACGGGUAGGGGACCUGAGAGGGUGGCCCCCCACAAUGGAACUGAAACACGGUCCAUACACCUACGGGUGGCAGCAGUAGGGAAUAUUGGUAAUCUGGGAAACCGGGAACCAGCAACGCCGCGUGCGCGAUGAAGGCCUUCGGGUUGUAAAGCGCUUUUUAAAGGGAUGAGGGAGGACAGUACCUUUAGAAUAAGCCUCGGCUAACUACGUG